CUGAAAACCUGUGAUACUUUUAAUCAAUGUGAUGGUGGUGUCUAGGAUAUUGUCUGUCGGGUAUGAUUCCCUGAGUCAGAUUGUUGCUUGACUAGUCUGUGAGACAGCUCUCCCAAUUUGGCAUUAGCCCCCAAAUGUUAGAAAGGAGAACUUUGCAAGGUCAUCAGGGCUGUUUACCAUGCUUGGGUUAAUGCUAGGUGAUUCAUUCAGUUCCAUUCCUUUUUUUAAUUUUAUGUGGUUGCUUCAACUGAAUGGCUUGCUUGGUCACUUCAUAGGGGACUUCAGAGCCAACCUCAUCAUCAACCACCACCACAACUUUAACCCUGGAAUCACAGAUAGGCCAGACUAGGAUUCCCUUACUGGACCAGAAUAACAACCCAAUCAGGGAACCUCAUAUUCUAUAAAGUCCACCUGACAUAUAAGGUCCACUGGCUGAGCUCGUUCCAAUCACUACACUGCCCUUCAGGUCUGGGAGUGGACUGGGAGGUGGCAGCUCACAUUGCUUCCAAAUUUCACAGAAUCGGAAAAUUCUGAAAUUAGUUCUCUUUACACCAAGGCCUGUGUCAUUAAAGGAAAAGCAAACGUUGCACCAAUGACUUCUGGGAAACUCCACAACAAGCCUUCCUCCAGUUCAAAAAUCACUGGACAACUAAUCUGCUUAGAGAACAAGGAUCAGCAGGCUGUUUCACUGCACAAGGAUAUGCAGGACACCAGAAAAAGCAAAAACAAUUUGAAAGAGCACUUUACCUUCGUAUAAUCAUGCAGAAUGAUCCCAGAACUAUGCACAGGGAUGAUUCAUUACAAAAAUUGUAUUCAAUAUCAAAAGCAGUCUAGACAGAGUAAAUAUGUAGAAAUUGUUUCCAAUUAUUAACGAUGAGAGGGCACAAAUUUAAAGUGAUUGGCACAAGAAGCAAAAGUGACCUGAAAGACCUUUUCGUGCAGGAAGUAUUUGGGGCCUCGAAGGCACUCCCUGGCUGUACAGGCAUUAUCACUUGAUGCAUUGAAAAGGGAAAUUAAAAAGGGGUUACAGCAAAAAGACAGUGAGAUGCUGCAUCAAAUUUGAAGAAUCCAAGAAAGCGCAAUGGACUGAAUGGUUGCCUUCAUCUCUGUAAUAAUUCUGUGUUUGUGUGAAAACAGCCAUAUUUUAAAUAAGGAAAUUGGUAAAGAAUCACUGAGAAAUGUAUUAAAACAAAUUGGCAAAAUUGAUUAAGUAUUUUGACACACCUAUUUCAUGAAAAAUUUUCAAUCUCCUGUCAUAAGCUCACCUGAUUUCUCUCUGUCACUUAACCUCAUCUCCAACUGCAAAGUCUAAAGAUGGAGCCUUUUUUUAUGGCAUUGAUGGAGUUUAUUUUGACAAUUUUUGAAGAUGGAGUGAAAUUUUGACAGAAGGCUGUUGUGAAUAGCUGAGCUCAGCUUUUCCUAAUUGAACACACUGUUAUAAAUGGAUUAAGUGUGAGAAACCAGAUGUGGAAAUCAUUGACAUAGCCUUGUAAGAAUCUUAGCAUGAGCGCCAUUUAUUUGACAAUAUGUAAUGCCAGCAUCUUCAAAGUAUCAAUGUACUUGGAGCCAUGAAACUGGAGCAUAGAUUCAUUCCUAUUGGUAGAAUAGAAUAGAAUACCCUUUAUUGUCAUUGUACUGCCCAAAUUUAACGUUGAGUCUGCUUCAUUCACGAAUUUAAGGAUUUCUUAAAUUUUGGUUUUUCUUUCAUAUGUAUUGAUUUAAUCUGAUUUUUAAUGUUUAUAUUCAUAAUAUAAAAGGCCAACAGAAGCCUGUAAGCAAUGUGCUAUAAUUUUAUCUCUCACAUUCUCUCUCUCAUUUGCCCAUACAAUCUGUUCUUAUGACUCAGGUUUUUAACAUUUGUUCUAAUUUUCAUUCAAAUUAUUUUGAUUGAGAGUUGAACAGAAACUACUAGAUGCUAAAGAACAAUAAUCCAUUAGCACAGCUGACUGCACCUUAGAAAAUCAAAUAUUUUGCACGUGGUUAAACUGUACAAUUGAAUUUCAGUUGGAUGUAUGGUGGCCACAUUAUUCCCAUUACUACUACAUUAUAGUGGU
This is a long non-coding RNA of Rhincodon typus (whale shark), 2054 nucleotides long. RefSeq lists it as uncharacterized. The transcript is spliced from 4 exons. The record is from RefSeq and is a predicted model, not a curated record. NCBI's taxonomy places the organism in Eukaryota, Metazoa, Chordata, Chondrichthyes, Orectolobiformes, Rhincodontidae.